RNAcentral lists this long non-coding RNA (4791 nucleotides) under Panax ginseng (ginseng). RNAcentral describes it as "long non-coding RNA (PGIN_LNC016945)". Lineage: Eukaryota; Viridiplantae; Streptophyta; Magnoliopsida; Apiales; Araliaceae. The record is from RNAcentral.
AGCCACAACAACCAGCAAGGUACUCAGCAUCAGGCUCAGUUGUCAUAACCACUCAAUGGGAGACUUUUGAUCCUGUUCCGGCACCAUUGCCACUACCCCCUAUGGCAAACACCAAUAAAUCAAUGCAUCCUAAAUUCAAUUGGGAUUUGCUGUAAGUGGUAAGUGUAUGUUUUAGCGUGUGAAUGUUUGUUUUGAAUUUGUCUCGAGUUGGUUUUGGUGUCUAUUCUCCAUUCUUUUCUGUAAUUUAUAGAUUUGUUAGCAUCCUUUGAUGAUUGAUCUGUCAUUUACUUCGGAAAAUAAAUGGGGAUAGUUUAAACUAUUAAUAUUACGUUCUCCUUUUAUUUUCUUUGUUCAAGUCAUUCUUCACACUCGUAAUGUUUCGGAUAUUGAUAGUGGUGUUUACUUGAGAAUUUAGAUUUUAAAUUAAGAAGAGAUCGUACCUCAAUAUCAGUGCAUGUUUCUGCGUCUCCAGACUCCAAGGCAAUCCUACUCUCAAUUUUGAUAAAUAAUAAUAUAAAAAAAACAAUAGUGGUUUAUGACUUUUGAUUAAUCUUUGUUCUUUGCAUCCCGUGGAGGAUACAAAAUGACAAAAAGGGAGGAAUGAAAAGGAUUUUUAUAAUCAUAUAACUAACCCUUAAUUUAUACAAAGAUAGGUCUGAUUACAGUGGGGUGCAGAAAAUGAUGACCAAUAAAAUAGUUAAAUCCUCAAAACAGAAAUGUUUUGGCAGAUGUAAUAAUCUUCCAAAAAACCUUUUUUUUCUUCUGGAUUUGUUAAAUUUGCAUGUUUAUGCAGGCCAAGAAAGGAAAAGGAAACAAAUAUGGGGCAUACAGAUACAGGUGGUAUGUUGGAAAGAAAAUUCAGUGGCGUACCUCUCAGUGAAAGUAAAGUUGCCAUGAUUGUUUUGUGGUCAUGAGUAGGUGAAUGUUUAACUGAGAUGCCAGGAGGUCUAGCCUCAAUAUGAACUAACUCUGUUUGAUUGGGGUUGAAUGAGUCAUGCAUCUGAUUGGGAGAUUGGGAUUGUAUGAGUUCUGUAUCUGACUGAAGUUGGAUAAUUUCCAGCCCUACUGACUACUAAAGCAGCUAAAAGUUAACCCUCUCCUGGAUGAACCGGACUAACAGUCUUCUUACUAGGGUCUAUUUUCCUGAAAAGAAAUAACAUGCUUCACUAUGUUGGACUGAUGAUAUUUUCCAGCUUAAAACUAAUGCAUUACAUGAGAAUGAUAAAUAUUUUUGAAGAUAAAACGUGAGAAUGAUAAAUUAUAAGUAUAAUCCGGGCCGCAUUCAAGAAAUAUGCAGAAAAGUUAUUUUACUUCUUUUGUGAUUCUUCAGGUGCAACUAAUUUUCUUGUGGUCCAAUAACAUUUUGAGUGUUAGCCAUAUGUGUUGUAAAUCUUUUUCAUAAAUAUGAUCCAUUCUCCACUUAUCAGGUUGAAUCUCCACUUAUCAGGUCUUCAACGAAGCUUGUAUCAAAUUUCCAGUUGAUCAUAAAUAAAACUGUUAUAGUCCUUGACAAUCCGUCUUGGUUAGGUACAAGUAAUUGUUUUUUUGUUUAGGCUUGGGAUUCUGCUUUAUUUAUAAUGGCUCAAUUCGAAAAAGGUUAUAAACUACAAUGAUCCAAAGUAACAGUGGGAAAAAUAAACCAAGAAGAAAGCCGUGUGAAGAUCAAUAUAGUGAGGGAACAAAUACAGCAAUAAUUGCAGUAAUCAACAAUUAAAAUAACUUAUAAACACAUAAAAAAGUCAUUGAUACAACUUUUAAUUCGAAAAUGUCGGUGGUUGCACAAAAAGCACACGUUUCAUUCUUUUAGAAUAAAAUAUCUUAAAAUCCGAUGACUCCUGUACCUUGGAUGUAAAUGGAAUUAGGAUUAUCAUUGGGAAAAGAAAAGUAAUGAUUAAUUAAAGUAAAGAAAGAUCUAAAGCACUUUACUAACUUUGCUUCAGCAUCUCAAAUGAGUACACACUGUAACAAGCUUAAAAAACAAAUCCCAAGAGCCUAAAGAAAAGUGUAGCUCAUCAGAAAUUUUAUGUUGCUUCAGAGGAAGUUGAUACUAGCCAAAUAUAUAAAUCCACUACACAAAUAUGCUUCAAUACACGUAUGAAGUUACUCAUGCAAUUUCCAAGAAAGAUAUAUCUGUAAGCAAGCAACUUCAAAAUAUCACUAAUUCUAGAUAUAAAGUCACAAACAAGUUUUUGCUAAGUUCCUAAAGAAUGUUUCAGUAAUAGUCAUGUCUAUAAGACUACAGAGGCCUCUUGAUCAGGGUAUUAGGACUGCUGCAAACCAUAAGUUCUAUUGGUUAAUUUACUAUGAGACACUGCCUCAGGUCUCGUUUCCUACUACACCUUGUUUUCUACAUCGAAACUGAGUAAAUGACACGAUAAUCCAAGAAAUUUUAUGUGUAUUAGUUCUUGCUAGGGAAGAUGAAUGAGGGGUUGAUCUUGAGAGCACCAGCUAGGUAUCAACAGAUAAGAGGCAGUUCAGUAGCCAAAGGCUCAAGCAUAAACAAAAUAAAGACUAAAUGAAAAACUAGGGGGACAAAAAUAAAGAGGGAACUAGAGAUGCAUUAAUCGUUACUCAUUAGUUUUGAGGGAAAGCAAGGAUAGAGAACUUAAACACUAGCGUCACUUCUCAUGUAUAAUGAGAUUAAAGAAAGUGUGAGAAUAGAGGGUUUGGGGAACUAGGGAAUACAAAAUGGAAUGGUAACUGUUAACUGUUAGCGGUGAGCUUUGAAUAAUUAAAUUACUAGAAGGCUGGAGAAAUUAGCAAGAAUUGGUAUCUACAUUGCUAGAAGACAACUUGGAAGGCUAGGUGAGUACUUUCUCUAAUUGUUUGUAAUAGGGCUGUGAAAAAAAUUUAGAAAUUCGCAUAAUGUGCAUUGCUCCACAUUGGUUUGAUGACUGGUCGUUGAGAAGGAUCAAAGAGGACGUAGAAGGCUAUGUGAAAACCUUUUCUAAUUGUUAGCAGGCAGGACCGUAAGGAAAAGAUAAAUCAUUUUCUGUGCGCUUGUAGCAGAAAGUUCUAAUCUUCACAUUUUCAUGAUGUAUUGAUUCCAUAAAGAUGAAGCUCUCCACAGCAAACUAAUUUUCGUCAGUAUGUCAAGAGAGGGCAGGAAGAUAUAGAUGCAAAAACAUAUUUCAACUUCAAUCAGAAAGCUAGAGUUUUUAGCCAAGACCAUAAAGUCGAUCAUUUUGAUGUUUUCCCCCAAGUGAUCCGCUAUUACCUUGCUUCAGCUAGAAAAUUAGUCCAAGUAUUAUUGCAUUCCCAUUACCUUUAUUAUGUGAACACUGGAUUUGAAUUUUUCUGAGUCUAAGCUUUUGAGUCACCUUGCAGCCAAAAAAUUUGCAUUAUCUUCCUUUGAUACCCUCGCUGCCAUCAGUCAUUAUCAACUUUCAAUGGCACACCAGUUCAUUCUUUUUAUGCUUUGGUGCUUGAGCAUUUCACAUUUGUUACAUACAAUGCUCUUUGAUUUUUAAUUCCAUUUAUUUUUCUUCACAAUCCAAAGGAUGAAUCUAUAAACUCAUAAUAAUCUAGAGUCUAGGCCUCAAAUUCUAUACACUGCUUAUUCAUACAUAUCUUUGAGACUCUAAUAUCCUUGACGAAUUGCUGUUUCUUAAUUCUUCUCCAAGUGCUUGCUCCGAAUAUUACUAUCCAAUGAAUUAUCUUAGCCUAAGUUGUCUUCAUUAUAAUUCCAUACCAGUUAUUAAAACUUUAAGCCAGUAAUCAUCAAUCUGCAGUUGAGGAUCUUAACUUUUCAUACCAUGAUUCUUGAAAAUUUUGACAUUUUUUUUACACUUUAUUCAACAAAGGAAUGAAAAGCCAGAACCUUGUCGUUUAAUGGGCAGUUAUUUGAAGUAUUAUUAAGUUAACAGGUUUACCAGCGACAAAGGAUUCUUUUCUUUUACUAUUUUAGCCAUAUCAAAACCACCAAGAUGCCAAAAGCUAGAGCUCCUACCCAGUAUAAACUUUCUACUGGCUUCUACGGUCUUUAUUUUCAAGAGCAACCCUCAUCAUAAACACAAUAUUGAUCCUUAAGACCUUAACCUAGAGUCCUAGAAAAAUGAAUAUGUUUGAAUACCUUUGAUUCUUUCAAAGCUUAUUCUGUAUUUUACAUACCAAUUCCUUACACGGUAGGCUUUGUUACAAAGCGACCUACCUAUGCUUAUACAACUAACUAAAACAUCCAUCUCAACUCCUAUUUCCGUAGGUUUUACAUCUGAACAACACAUGAUUCCAUCUUUACCUUCAAUUUGGGACAGAACAAACUUUUAGGACUGGUUUAAAAUGUUAAUGUCAUAAUGCAUUUUCAUCAAUUUGUGUUCAUAAUCAGCAGUUUCAGCUUUGUACAAUCUACCUGGCAAAGAGUUUCUCACUUAAAGUAAAGGUAUUAAUGUAUUAUGUUACUAGUAGCAAAUUAGGAAAGUGUGUUGGAAUAGAAUGCAGCAAAAGAACAUUAACGUCUCAAUCCAAAUUCUUAGCUUCAAAAUUUCAAAUUCAUGAUACAACUCAACGCAGAGAAAGCUUAAAGAAACAGAUUAAACAAGUAGUCAUAAAAAAAAUUGAGAUCACAGUAAAAGAUGAAAUUCAACUAUAAUAGGCACAAUAGCAUAAAAAUGAAACAGCAGCUAGUCCUAAUAGUAAUUUCUUCGCUGACAAAAAUGUUCAUAACGAUAUUACCUAAUUAAAAUUAGCUGAUCCAUUGGCAGUGUAAUGAUUCUGAUCUUUAUUCUGAAACCCUAAUAUCCGAGAUGAUGGGUGAGAGAGACUUUCGGAUUUUAGUUUUGAAAAUGAAUGGCG